AGCGAACGCUGGCGGCAGGCUUAACACAUGCAAGUCGAACGGGCGUAGCAAUACGUCAGUGGCAGACGGGUGAGUAACGCGUGGGAACGUACCUUUUGGUUCGGAACAACCCAGGGAAACUUGGGCUAAUACCGGAUAAGCCCUUACGGGGAAAGAUUUAUCGCCGAAAGAUCGGCCCGCGUCUGAUUAGCUAGUUGGUGUGGUAACGGCGCACCAAGGCGACGAUCAGUAGCUGGUCUGAGAGGAUGAUCAGCCACAUUGGGACUGAGACACGGCCCAAACUCCUACGGGAGGCAGCAGUGGGGGAAUAUUGGACAAUGGGCGCAAGCCUGAUCCAGCCAUGCCGCGUGAGUGAUGAAGGCCCUAGGGUUGUAAAGCUCUUUUGUGCGGGAAGAUAAUGACGGUACCGCAAGAAUAA
This 418-nucleotide ribosomal RNA is filed under the name uncultured bacterium. RNAcentral's name for it is "bacterial SSU rRNA". It matches the Rfam family "Bacterial small subunit ribosomal RNA", at positions 29 to 489 of the family's 1533-position model. The record is from RNAcentral.